This 302-nucleotide ribosomal RNA is filed under the name uncultured bacterium. RNAcentral's name for it is "partial 16S ribosomal RNA". It matches the Rfam family "Bacterial small subunit ribosomal RNA", at positions 508 to 807 of the family's 1533-position model. The record is from RNAcentral.
GCAGUAGCCGCGGUAAUACGAAGGGGGCUAGCGUUGCUCGGAAUGACUGGGCGUAAAGGGCGCGUAGGCGGAUGUGUCAGUCGGACGUGAAAUUCCUGGGCUUAACCUGGGGGCUGCGUUCGAGACGGUUCAUCUAGAGUUUGGAAGAGGGUCGUGGAAUUCCCAGUGUAGAGGUGAAAUUCGUAGAUAUUGGGAAGAACACCGGUGGCGAAGGCGGCGACCUGGUCCUGGACUGACGCUGAGGCGCGAAAGCGUGGGGAGCAAACAGGAUUAGAUACCCGUGUAGUCCCUGUCUCUUAUAC